This 775-nucleotide ribosomal RNA is filed under the name uncultured Neocallimastigales. RNAcentral's name for it is "partial large subunit ribosomal RNA". It matches the Rfam family "Eukaryotic large subunit ribosomal RNA", at positions 23 to 634 of the family's 3401-position model. Lineage: Eukaryota; Fungi; Neocallimastigomycota; Neocallimastigomycetes; Neocallimastigales. The record is from RNAcentral.
AGAGAGAGACAUGCGCGCAUAUCAAUAAGCGGAGGAAAAGAAACUAACAAGGAUUCCCUUAGUAACGGCGAGUGAAGCGGGAGGAGCUCAAAUUUGAAAUCUUCAAGGUUUUACCUUGACGAAUUGUAGUUUAAAGAAGUGUUUUCUGCUGAAGUUUUGGUAAAAGUUCUUUGGAAUAGGACAUCAUAGAGGGUGAGAAUCCCGUAUUUGACCAUUAUUUUCAGCUUUGUGAUACACUUUCAAAGAGUCGGAUUGUUUGGGAAUGCAGUCCAAAAUGGGUGGUAAAUUUCAUCUAAAGCUAAAUAUUGGCGAGAGACCGAUAGCGAACAAGUACCGUGAGGGAAAGAUGAAAAGAACUUUGAAAAGAGAGUUAAACAGUACGUGAAAUUGUCAAAAGGGAAGCGUUUGACACCAGUGUUGUUUUCUCGAAAAUCAAUUAAAAAUGGCUCGAUUUUGUAUUGCUGAGACCUUAAAAGCUCACUGUACAUUUUUCGUGUCUUUCUUAAUGCACUUUUCGUUUAACAAGUCAACAUCAGUUUCUUUUGUUGUAAAAGAGUCAUUGGAAGGUGGCUUUCUUUUCGGAGAAAGUGUUUAUAGCCUUUGGCCUCUGCAAUCGGGAGAGACUGAGGUCUGCAGCGUAGACUCUUCGGGGUUAGAUACAUUUGUGCUAAGUUAUAGCUUUUUAUAGACAACUUGUUGACUAUAAUUAGUCUUGUAGCUUACUCGCUUAUGCUAUUUUACCUACGCUUAGGAUGUUGAAGAUGUAGCACAUCAU